RNAcentral lists this non-coding RNA (48 nucleotides) under Trichobilharzia regenti. The record is from RNAcentral. Lineage: Eukaryota; Metazoa; Platyhelminthes; Trematoda; Strigeidida; Schistosomatidae.
AUCCAGCUGACUAGUCCCUAAUGGGACGAAAUGCGCGUUGUCCUGGAU